GUCAUAACUCAUAAAUAAAUUAAAUACGAUACAAAUUAUUAGAAAUAUUUCCACAUAUGUGAUCAAUAAUUCAUACAAGUUCCAUUCACGAGUUUUCGUCCAACAUCUUAUUCUUUUGUGCAGCAUGCUUCUAAUACUGGAUGACAACUUUACAACCGACAGUAAUGUCCUUACGUGUCCAGCCCGACCCUCGAGUCCUUUCCAUUAUCGUGUGCUCUAUUGGUUCGCAUUCAAAUCCACGAUUCCCUUCUAAUCUAAUAUUUAUGUUUUUUGUGCAUUUCGCAUUAUUAUAGUAAUCUGUUUAUAAUGCCAAUGUAGUAUAGUCGCCGUCCGAUUGAGUUGUUGUUACUUUAUCCGCAUUUCCUGAUAGUUCACACAUGUCGAACUCC
Paramuricea clavata is the source of this 389-nucleotide non-coding RNA. The record is from the annotation of a GenBank genome assembly. Lineage: Eukaryota; Metazoa; Cnidaria; Anthozoa; Malacalcyonacea; Plexauridae.